Molecule: ribosomal RNA, 773 nt
Filed under: uncultured Neocallimastigales
Lineage: Eukaryota; Fungi; Neocallimastigomycota; Neocallimastigomycetes; Neocallimastigales
Description: partial large subunit ribosomal RNA
Rfam family: Eukaryotic large subunit ribosomal RNA
Source: RNAcentral
GAGAGAGACAUGCGCGCAUAUCAAUAAGCGGAGGAAAAGAAACUAACUAGGAUUCCCUUAGUAACGGCGAGUGAAGCGGGAAGAGCUCAAAUUUGAAAUCUUCAAGGUUUACCUUGACGAAUUGUAGUUUAAAGAAGUGUUUUCUGUUGGAGUUUUGGUAAAAGUUCUUUGGAAUAGGACAUCAUAGAGGGUGAGAAUCCCGUAUUUGACCAUUACUUUCAGCUUUGUGAUACACUUUCAAAGAGUCGGAUUGUUUGGGAAUGCAGUCCAAAAUGGGUGGUAAAUUUCAUCUAAAGCUAAAUAUUGGCGAGAGACCGAUAGCGAACAAGUACCGUGAGGGAAAGAUGAAAAGAACUUUGAAAAGAGAGUUAAACAGUACGUGAAAUUGUCAAAAGGGAAGCGUUUGACACCAGUGUUGUUUUCUCGAAAAUCAAUUAAAAAAGGCAGGAUUUUGUGUUGUAUUGACUUUAUCAGCUUUCUGCACUCUUUCUUGUCUUUUUUAAUGCACUUUUCGUUUAACAAGUCAACAUCAAUUUCUUUUGUUGUAAAAGGGUCAUUGGAAGGUGGCUUUCUUUUCGGAGAAAGUGUUUAUAGCCUUUGACUCCUGCAAUCGGAGAGACUGAGGUCUGCAGCGUAGAUCCUUCGGGGUUAGAUACAUUUGUGCUAAGUUAUAGCUUUUCAUAGACAACUUGUUGACUAUGAUUAGUCAUUGUAGCUUACUCGCUUAUGCUAAUUUUACCUACGCUUAGGAUGUUGAUGUGAUACUGCGAGCA